This 253-nucleotide ribosomal RNA is filed under the name uncultured bacterium. RNAcentral's name for it is "partial 16S ribosomal RNA". It matches the Rfam family "Bacterial small subunit ribosomal RNA", at positions 524 to 776 of the family's 1533-position model. The record is from RNAcentral.
UACGUAGGGGGCAAGCGUUGUCCGGAUUUAUUGGGCGUAAAGAGCGUGUAGGCGGCCAGAUAGGUCAGCUGUGAAAACUCGAGGCUCAACCUCGAGAUGUCGGCUGAAACCAUCUGGCUAGAGUCCGGAAGAGGAGAAUGGAAUUCCCGGUGUAGCGGUGAAAUGCGCAGAUAUCGGGAAGAACACCAGUAGCGAAGGCGGCUCGCUGGGCCACACCUGACGCUGAGACGCGAAAGCUAGGGGAGCGAACAGG